This 380-nucleotide ribosomal RNA is filed under the name uncultured eukaryote. RNAcentral describes it as "SSU rRNA". It matches the Rfam family "Eukaryotic small subunit ribosomal RNA", at positions 587 to 972 of the family's 1831-position model. The record is from RNAcentral.
AGCUCCAAUAGCGUAUAUUAAAGUUGUUGCGGUUAAAAGCUCGUAGUUGGAUUUCUGUUGAGGGAGCGCGGUCCGCACUUUGUGCGUGUAUCUGUGUCUGUCUCGGCAUCCUCAUGGGGAAGGCGUCUGUGCUUGAUUGCAUAGCGUCUGAUUCAUGACUUUUACUUUGAGGAAAUUAGAGUGUUCACGGCAAGCUAUCGCUUUGAAUACAUUAGCAUGGAAUAAUAAUAUAGGGCUUAAGUUCUAUUUUGUUGGUUUCUAGGGCAUAAGCAAUGAUUAAUAGGGAUAAUUGGGGGCAUUCGUAUUAACGCGUCAGAGGUGGAAUUCUUAGAUUGCGUUACGACGAACUACUGCGAAAGCAUUUGCCAAGGAUGUUUUCA